GACAAGAGGAAACACGUGGUAGCCGGAGUAUUGGGUCCCGAGGUUAGGGAAACAAAACGUUUUUGCUUGGACCUCAGAUUGGCAGUAGGCAGCGGGGCUUUUCACCGUCCGGAUGAAAUACGGGGAAAUGGGAGUCGCCUGGGAUGGGCCCUGCAGCUCGCCCUGAGCGGGGCGUGCGGGCCCGUCUGGCCCGACGAGAGCAGGCGAGGUCCAGGCAGGCCCGAGCUCAGCAGGCUGACUGUCCGACCACGGCGCCUCGCCAGCAUUACAAGUGUUUUCUCCUGUAAAUUACAGACAGCUGGGACUUCUUUCCACAAGGUCUCAUCUGGAAUACAGUGGACAGAAGAGAUCAGAGGUACUGCAGAUCUAUAAUGGUUCUUCAAGCCUUAUUUAAUCUACAGGAGCUGCAGUUCUUCUCACAAGCUGGUGACUCCUGUCAUUCACAAUUGCUAAUGAGUAUGCACAGUCCUUGACUUUGUUUCUUUAAAGGGACACUGUACGAAAUGGCAUCUGUAUUAGAAGAUCAGGAAGGUCAGAAAGGAAAAACCCUAAUUUCGCAAUAUUUUAACAUACAAUGCCUGUGGAUGUUCUGAAAACCUGACAGAACUGCAGCAUCUGUGCAUGUACAAAAGAGCUUGGAAGUGAACAAUUUACUGCUUUUUCAUUAUUGAGAAAAGUAUUACUUUUUCAGUAACAAUGAGGCCCUUAAAUGCUCCUUAAAGCAGUACCAGGUAUAUGCAUACACACUUCUCAUUAGUAAAUCCUGCAUAUAUUUUCCUGACGGUAUCCAAGGAAAGUCUAAAUAAGAAUAUUAAAUCAUAUUCCCACGAGUCUCUUCUAAAUUCAAAAUUACACAUCUGCACAGCAAAUCUCCAUUAACAAUAUUUUUCAGUGUAAUGCAGUACAAAAUUGAUACAUAUGUAAAUUAUUUCACUUGCAGAAUUACAAUGACAUACUUUGUGUUCUUUCUGUACAAGAAACAUCCCCAAGUCACUCAUUAAAAGUGGUGAGGCCACUUAGGUCAAUGAUAUACAGGCAGCUUGAAAGACGCUGGCAUUUUAAGUGGCAUGUUUAGAGUUUGUCUAUGGUUGUAUUCUUCCUGUAUUUCUUAAUAAUUAGCUGCAGGAAGGUACGAUACAUUUUACAUUUGUAUUUUACCUUUCAUGUGAAAAAAACAUGCAUUGCAGCCAGGAAUAGCUGUGCCACCUCAUAGACGGUUUGACCUUGUCUUUGCUGCCCUUGAUCUUUCUGCAGGGUUUCUUUAGUUUGUGAAUACACAAGGCAAAAGUGGACUUUAGUGAGGUUAAGACUGAAAAGCCCUUACUGAUCUCCUCAAGAUGUCCUCCCUUUGUGAUCACGUUGGCAAUCACUUGAAGAACUGCUUGAUUCUCCUCUUGAGCUUUUGUGACUUCUAAAAGUGUAAAACAGAAAAACACAUAAUAGAAUCUUGGGAAAACAUGAAAUGCAUAAAUACAUAAAUAUUGGCAUUUAAUAGUGGAAUUCUAAACAGAAGAUCACUUUAUGAAACCUUUCUUUCCAAAAAGCUUGCUUUAGUCAUGUCUUCAGUACGCCAAGUUUAGAGUGAUAUUUGGUUUUCUUUUUUUCUUUCUUUCUUUUUUUUUUUGUUUUUGUUUUUGUACAGUUUUCAUUUGGGGAAAGAUGUUUUGUAACAGCUAAUGUUGCUGUCACAUCUCCUGUACAGUGCAGUACAUUGCCUUUCACUUCAGUGAUCUGAUAUGACCUUUUACUUGUUGAGGAAGAUAUAUACUGACUGGUAUCGCUUUUUUUGCAAGAUAUUAGUGAAGAUGUUUUCAUUUAUUAAAUUCAAGUUUUAUUUGGCUUUUGGUGAUUCUUUCGUUCCAGCAGAGAGUAUCAUAACUACUUGAUUCUAAGGUAAAAGUCAACAAUUAUUUGAUCCCUCAGGCUUGCAAAUUAACAUUUAACAAUUACCAGACUUUAAAAACUUCCAUUCAUAUACAGAGUUUUACAUUCAUUUCACGUAAGUGAGAUUAAAGCUAUUUUUGAAGAAAGUCACAAAAGGACUGCUGGAUAGUACAUUAACUGUCCACUCCUUCACCAUGUAUUUAUAAAACAUUCUGUGAUCCCUGACAGCUGAGGAUGCUGAGCUGGACUUCAUCUCUUGAGUGAGAGUAGUGGGGAGCCCCAGCAGGUUCGCUCAUCACUUUCCAGCAGGCUGUUUUCAGGAUACAGAUCUGCACCACAUCAGAGCUGGGAGAGCCAGAAGGGCUGCUCUGGCAUGGAACUGCUGUGCAGAAUAUCCACGGGUGAAUUACACAGUGCAUGGUUGAGAGUGAUCUUGUUUGGCAUGUAGAAGCGCUGUCUUACUGCAAAUGCUAAAUAGUGAUGAUUUCCAGAUGCAUCAGUCAGUUUUCACAUGUUAUCUGUCUUACAUGAACAGGGUACUUUCUGUGCCACAGUGCAGUAGUCAGUAUCCUGGAAAUUACUGAGCCUGGCUUUCUCCACUGAUACAAAGAUGGCUCUGGUUGGGUCAGUUCUUUGUGUAGACCUGGAAAGCUCCAUCUGGCCUUGGAGAAGUUCUGCUGACAGCUCACCUGCUGGCACUGAACUCGGAUUAGACUGCUUGUUACUUGAAAUUCACAUGAACAGCUGUUGAAAUAGUCAUUAUGCAGUAUUAUCUACCAGAAUGUGUUUGCCCUUUAUAUGAAAAUUCUAAAUUAUUCAGUAAGUCUAUUUCUCUUUUAUAAACUGUGAUUUUCAUGUUGAGCAUAAUAGCAAAUGCUAUUAUUGUUUACUCUGAAGUGUCAGAUUAUAUGUAAAUAAAUAUGUAGACUCGAUAUUCACAUAAUGAAUUGUCAUACUGCCACUCUAUUCCAAU
Molecule: long non-coding RNA, 2857 nt
Filed under: Taeniopygia guttata (zebra finch)
Lineage: Eukaryota; Metazoa; Chordata; Aves; Passeriformes; Estrildidae
Description: lncRNA (ENSTGUG00000023641.1)
Source: RNAcentral